Neofelis nebulosa (Clouded leopard) is the source of this 1246-nucleotide long non-coding RNA. RefSeq lists it as uncharacterized. NCBI's taxonomy places the organism in Eukaryota, Metazoa, Chordata, Mammalia, Carnivora, Felidae. The transcript is spliced from 4 exons. The record is from RefSeq and is a predicted model, not a curated record.
AGCCUCGGGCGCGUGCUUUCUUUUGGGAAUCCAGUGGCGGCCGUGGGCGUUUGUCUGUGCGGAUGCUGUGAGUCCACGUUAGGGGAGGAUCUGGGCCCCGAAUGGGGCUGAGGGGUCCUCCAGGGCCAUCUUCCGCCGGGGCUCCGCCUCUGUCUUCAGCGUUGUACGCGUUCCUUGCUCCGCCCCCCCCCACCCGUCCCUUUCUGUUGGGAAGGUGCAACUCCAGACCGACUUCUCUCCGCAGGUCGGUCGGUGACGUGUUUGGAGACCGUGGACGUAAAUGAACGUCAGCCCGGGGCCUGGUGGUAAGGCGGGAGUCCACGUCCGUAUCUGCGGCGCUUAACAAUAAAGCAGGGGUGGCUCCUGCCGAGGGCUGAAGAAGGCUCUAGUGCUCCCUACCCAACUGGCAAACCUCUUCUUAAUCUCCCCCGUCCUCCAAAAACAGAAGCCCCACAGACCCUGGGGGUGCGGAAGGCAGCAUAUGGGAAAUGCUCAAACACCUUAUGUUCUAUGAAAUCCACGUGAGCGUUGCCAUGGAGACGGCAGAGAGGAACUGUAGCAGCUCCCCCCAGAAGACAGAAGAGAGAGUCACCCCAGGAAGCAGCUGAUGUCAGAGGUGUGCUCGCCGCUCCCCCCAGUGCCCAGGUGCACAGGGGCCACGCUGAGCCCCUGCUCCCUCCUGCUUCCGCGAGGCUGAGAGGAGACACCCUGCCUGCGGCACUCGGCACUCACCUGGGUUGCACCGAGGCUCUCCCGGACAGGACAGGUGGUGAGGGGUGGGUGUCCGCCCGUUGGGGCAGGGACUAUUGUGUGAGGGCUGGAGCAGUGGGUGGUUUCCCUGCAAGCCUGACUGCCCUCUGGCAUCCCUUCCCCUCGUGGCUCAAGUACUCAGACCUGAGUGCUCUUGGCGGUCUGUCUCAGGAUGCAAAAUGUGCCUGAGCCCCGCGGGCUGCUGCUCGGUCCGACUCUGCACUCAGGCCCCAGACAGGUGAGACCUCUGUCUGGAGGAGCACAGGACAGCCCCCCACUCCAGGCUCUCCGGGAAACCUUUGAGUGCUGUGCUGGGAAGGCAGAGGUAUAAAGGAAUAAAACGGAUACCUGUGUAGCCAUGACAACCGCAGCAGUCCGAGCACCGGCUGCGCCUGUUGUGGGCCAGUGAUGCACUCGCCUUGUCUCUCCUUUUUUCCUUAAUUAUGAAAGUGAUCUGUGACUUUCGCCCAUGAGAAAUAAAACUGCUUGGGGCUCC